RNAcentral lists this transfer RNA (92 nucleotides) under Eubacteriales bacterium. RNAcentral describes it as "tRNA-Ser". It matches the Rfam family "tRNA". Rfam says of the family: Transfer RNA (tRNA) molecules are approximately 80 nucleotides in length. Their secondary structure includes four short double-helical elements and three loops (D, anti-codon, and T loops). Lineage: Bacteria; Bacillati; Bacillota; Clostridia; Eubacteriales. The record is from RNAcentral.
GGAGAGUUGACCGAGCUGGCUGAAGGUGCACGACUGGAAAUCGUGUUUGCGUCAAAAGCGCAACGAGGGUUCGAAUCCCUUGCUCUCCGCCA